UCCAGACUCCUACGGGAGGCAGCAGUGAGGAAUAUUGGUCAAUGGCCGAGAGGCUGAACCAGCCAUGCCGCGUGCAGGACGACGGCUCUACGAGUUGUAAACUGCUUUUGUACCGGGGUAAAAUGCCUUACGAGUAGGGUUUUGAAAGUACGGUACGAAUAAGGAUCGGCUAACUCCGUGCCAGCAGCCGCGGUAAUACGGAGGAUCCGAGCGUUAUCCGGAUUCAUUGGGUUUAAAGGGUGCGUAGGUUGUUUUAUAAGUUAGCGGUGAAAUACCGAUGCUCAACAUCGGGGCUGCCGCUAAUACUGUAGGACUAGAGAUCGGAUGCAGCAGGCGGAAUGUGUAGUGUAGCGGUGAAAUGCAUAGAUAUCACGCAGAACUCCGAUUGCGAAGGCAGCAUACCGGCGCGCAACUGACGCUCAUGCACGAAAGCGUGGGUAUCGAACAGGAUUAGAUACCCGGGUA
Molecule: ribosomal RNA, 465 nt
Filed under: uncultured bacterium
Lineage: Bacteria
Description: bacterial SSU rRNA
Rfam family: Bacterial small subunit ribosomal RNA
Source: RNAcentral